GCUAGGUUCAAUGUUCCCAGCCUG
RNAcentral lists this non-coding RNA (24 nucleotides) under Arabidopsis thaliana (thale cress). Lineage: Eukaryota; Viridiplantae; Streptophyta; Magnoliopsida; Brassicales; Brassicaceae. The record is from RNAcentral.